Molecule: long non-coding RNA, 1255 nt
Organism: Daphnia pulicaria
Lineage: Eukaryota; Metazoa; Arthropoda; Branchiopoda; Diplostraca; Daphniidae
Exons: 4
Source: RefSeq, a predicted model, not a curated record
AAAAAUCAAAAUACAAUGUGAUUGUGUCGUGCCAUGGUUGUGCCUCAUAUCUCUUCGCUCUUCGAUUUAUUAAAUCCAGACUCCUGAGCUAGCAAUCAGCAUCAACAUCAAGUUUUGCUGAUCAUCAUAACCUGUCUGCAGCAGCUGUGUCAGCUUCAUCGAUGGGGUAAACACCAUCCUGUUUGAUUGGAAGAUCCACAAAUGAUUCAUCUCUUCUUCACCCUUUAAACACCCUCGUGUAGGUACACUCAUGUGAGUGUGAGCAUUCCUCCUUCAUGGUAUAUGGGUGUAUUCACGAUGACUCCUUCCUCCUAUCCCGCCUGGCGUUUUCAACUUUUUCUGCAGAUGGAGCACUCGGAGAUGCCUGGCUGUAUUUCCCAGGCUGAAGAACAUCUCCCCGACUGCUGGCUGUUUUGUAAGUUACUCGACUGCUGCACUUGACAGCAAACUACAGGGAGCAUAAACAUCUCAAUAAGUAUGUAAAUUGAUGAAUCAUCGUUACGCUCAGCAGUGAGUUCAUCACUGCUUUCGUAUCGUAAGGACUCUUCAGCAAUCAAUUAGCGGACUUCCACGAAAAGAGGGCGAACCUCAACAUGGCCUCCUCCGUUCAGGUGGGUCAGCAUAGUUUUACAAAACUGUCUUGCCCUUUCAGGUUCACUAAAAGUGACUGUAGUCACAAUAGGAAUAAUUCCACCAUGAGUGUUAUUAGCCAGUGGAACCAUUUUACUUUGCAGAUUCCGAGUUUUUCGGACACACAUUUCUAAUAUGUGCCUUGCCGACUUUUCCUUUAAAAAUUUUGUCCGAAUCUUUAAGGUUUAACAUUGUAUGUGGUGUUUUUGUUUAUCGUUGCUGAAAGUACUCUCUCCAAACACUUUUUUUUUAAUUAUUUCUAUUUGUGGUCUUACCGAGAAUGGAUUAGAUGAAACCAACAAAAAGCUGUCAAUGCACUUUAAAUUUUUAUUGCGGAAAUUUAUAGUAUUUUCCCAACUCAUGAUCCAAAAUGACGGAGAAUGUGACUUCCUUUAGAGAGCUACAAGCAAAGUCGAACCAAGAAACUGUAAAUUUUCGCGUUCGUGACAAUUUAAAGUUCAUGCAAUAACUGGUAUCCGGAAGUGAUUGGCCAGAAUCUGCCAGAAUUGACCGUGAAAUUUUAAUUUCCGUCAGUCCUGUUCAUAGAGAUUUAUUUUCGAAAAAUUGCGCAAUACUGCUUAACUUACGCUUCAGACUGCCAGCACGCCAUCAAACAUAAUUUAAA